Molecule: non-coding RNA, 24 nt
Filed under: Arabidopsis thaliana (thale cress)
Lineage: Eukaryota; Viridiplantae; Streptophyta; Magnoliopsida; Brassicales; Brassicaceae
Source: RNAcentral
UGCAGCCACAAGUAGUUUUGCGUC